RNAcentral lists this long non-coding RNA (1695 nucleotides) under Olea europaea subsp. europaea. Lineage: Eukaryota; Viridiplantae; Streptophyta; Magnoliopsida; Lamiales; Oleaceae. The record is from RNAcentral.
GGCAGAGAAGAAGAAGAAAUCGGCAGAAAGAAAAAGGGAAAGAAAAGAGGGAAGAAAAUGAGAAAAAGUAGAAGAAAGGGAAGAAAGGAGGAGGAGGAGAAGAAGAAGGAACGAGGUAGUUAAAUGUUGAUUUUCAUUUUCCCUUCCCUUUAUUCUCUUCAAGAGGUACAAAAAUUUUAUGUUAAAUUGCUAGGGUUUAAUUUGUAAUUAAAUUUUCAGAUUUUGAGAUGAAUACUACUUGGAGCUCAAGUUCUUGAUUUUUUAAUUUCCAUAUACACUAAGGUAAAGAGAUAUCAUUUUUUUUUUGGGCAAACCCUAGUUUUUAAAUUUUAUGAUUGAGUAUGAAUUAUUUAUGGAAAAGAUUACAUUAAUGGAAUCAUUCACUUAGAAGAAUGAUUUUGGGGAACAAUAGAUAUAUUAAUUUGGUUGCAGUAUGAUUACUAGUUUUUCAUUAGAAUGAAAGGGAUACAUAUUGGAAUGAUUGGAAUGAUGUUAAAUUUGGAUAAAGUACUCACAUGUGAAGGUUUUAGAAACUAAAAUUAGCUCCAAUUGAUUAAAGGAAAUUUAGGAAAAUUUCGGAAAGUUUAGUUUAAAUAUUAUAUCGUUAGAGAUAAAGGUUUCUUGAUUUUAAUAGUGGUUAAAUUAGUUAUUUUGUAACGUAUUUUAGGUGGUGAUGACGAAAUUGAAAAAGCUUACCGAUUGGCCUAAUAUGUAACUCGUAUUGAGUGAGUGAAUAUAAACUUAUUUUUAGAAAUUAGUAUUUAAUAAAUUUAUAUUAAAUCGGAAAAUUUAUUAUUUCAUGCAGUUGAUUUGAUAGAAUGAUUUCCAGAAUGAGAUUGAUUUAUAAACAAUUUUUUUUGUAAAGCUAAAUAUAGUUCAGUUCAUUUAAAUUAUUUGAUUAGCAUGUUAUAUGAGUAUUAAAUAUUUCAGUACAUUUAAAAUUAUUUUAAAACCAUCAGAAAGUACCCAGGUGACUUUACCCUAGUUCGCACUUGUGUGAAUGUGUUUUCACAGUGUAUGACUCCAUAUGGUUAUUUUAUCCAUUCUGCACUGGUGUGAAUGUGUUUCCACAAUGUAUCACCAGUUAUGGUGAUUUUACCCGCUCUGCACUAUUGUGAAUGUGUUUUCAUAGUGUAUGACCAAAUAGCUCCGCGCACGUAUGAUCAGAAUUUCAGAAUUACAGAAUUGAAUAGCUUUGCCAUGUCUAUUGGUGUUAACCGAUACAUGAGUAUAGUUACUCUGGGUACCUUUUUGGUGUGAUUUUUCAGUAUUAUAUAGCUUAAUAGAUUUCAGAAUACAAAAUUUAGCUUAUUCAGUUGAAAGAAUAAAGAUUUUAGCUUAAAACACCGUGUAAUGAUAUUUUAUUAUAAACCAAUUUUUAGUAAAUUAAAAUAAAUGAAAAAAGUAUAUUUGUUUACAAAAUUAUCCACUCACUGAAUUACAAUUUCAUAUAUUUCAUUUCCCUUUUUCUUAUCAGACAGUAGCUAUGUUGAGUCGCAUCGGAGCCUGUUGAAUUACCAAAUUGAGCCAGUCAAUUGUUAUUCGUAUGUUUCUUUUUGUCAGUUUAUACAGUUCAUAAAUUUUGGGGUAGAUGUAUUUUUUGUCAGUUUAUAUCAUGGGCUCACUACAUAUUUUUCUAUAAGUAAUUCAUUUGGAGUCCUUUAGUUUGUAAAGAAGUAUAAAAUUCAUUCCAAC